CCUACGGGUGGCAGCAGUGGGGAAUAUUGGACAAUGGGGGGAACCCUGAUCCAGCCAUGCCGCGUGUGUGAAGAAGGCCCUCGGGUUGUAAAGCACUUUCAGUGAGGAAGAACGCCUGGUGGUUAAUACCCAUCAGGAAAGACAUCACUCACAGAAGAAGCACCGGCUAACUCCGUGCCAGCAGCCGCGGUAAUACGGAGGGGGCGAGCGUUAAUCGGAAUUACUGGGCGUAAAGCGCGCGUAGGUGGCUUGAUAAGCCGGUUGUGAAAGCCCCGGGCUCAACCUGGGAACGGCAUCCGGAACUGUCAAGCUAGAGUGCAGGAGAGGAAGGUAGAAUUCCCGGUGUAGCGGUGAAAUGCGUAGAGAUCGGGAGGAAUACCAGUGGCGAAGGCGGCCUUCUGGACUGACACUGACACUGAGGUGCGAAAGCGUGGGUAGCAAACAGGAUUAGAUACCCUUGUAGUC
Molecule: ribosomal RNA, 465 nt
Filed under: Vreelandella stevensii
Lineage: Bacteria; Pseudomonadati; Pseudomonadota; Gammaproteobacteria; Oceanospirillales; Halomonadaceae
Description: partial 16S ribosomal RNA
Rfam family: Bacterial small subunit ribosomal RNA
Source: RNAcentral